CACCAGCCAUGUGACCAUUUUCAAGAGGUUCCGGAACUCCGUUCCACCACGUUCCAGCUGAAAAAAAAGCCCUGAUAAAAAACCCUCUGAGGUAGGGCAAUUGCUGUAUUAUAAUGAUUAAGGGGUUGGGUUGCAAUUCAGCACUUUGUUGGUUCCACUCCCACUACUGACUGCUAUAAGCUCAGCAGGUGGCCUUGGGUAAGCCACUUCUCUCAGCCCCAGCUGUAUUGUGGGGAUAAUAAUAACACUUGACUUUUUUCACCACUCUGAGUGGGGCACUGUAUUGCUCCUGUAGCAGUAAAAUCUCUGAUACUGGCCCUUGAUGGGCCUGAAAUGUGAAUGGUUCUAAGUACCAAGGACUAAAAUUUGCGUAAUAUGAUGGCUGCUUAUACUGUCAUCUUCUUCCUUGUAGAAGCAGAGGUGGCUGGAGCCCAGAGGGGAUCAGAGGGCAGAAAAUGGCAAGAACCAGAGCGAUUAUCUCUGAUUUUUGUCUCCAUCCUUGCCUUUUGCAACACUAAGAACGCUCAAGCACAGUAAUACGUUUCUUAACAGAUAACAUAGUUUCAGAGCAGAGAAUACAAACUGCUUCUGCAGUAGUCAUUGGAGUGGUGACUCUCAAUAACUUCAGUUUCUGCAGAGCGUGUCUCCAGGUUCUUGUCCAGAAGUGCAUUCAGUAGUGUUGAAGCAUCCUUGAGUUGGUGGGGCUCUUGCAUCUUGUACAAGAUGGAAAGGCAGCUGCGAUUGCUCAGGUGGUUCAGCGAACAAGCCUUGAAUAGAAUCUCUGACUGCACUGAUACUCCUAAUUGCUACAGAAUUCAUGGCUCUUCCCUGGAGUUCACAGUAGACAAUAUUCACAUUAGGCAUUAUUUUGUGGAUCAAGGACAAUUGAUUGAAUCCUCGGGCCUCACAGGCUCUUAUUUCCUUAAAGCAUUCCAUGAGUUCUUGUCUCCUCAAUGACCACGUUCACUGGGUCGGAUAUUAAAGUUCCAGCAUGUCUGAGAUGACCUCGGGAGUUGUCUUUUUGCAACUGUUUCCAGAACUUUGGUUCUUGUUGCUGAACAUGCUGGAAAACCCGAAAUGUCUGCAAAGAACACCCUCACCUCCUUUAUUUGGGAUGCUGCUUGUUGCAUUAUCAAGUUCAACUGGCAGAACAAUAGAUAUAGUGGGCAAUUUGGGUAUACAUUCUGGAUCUUCUUUUGGACUCCUUCCUGCUGUUGACGCAUCACACUUGCCCCGUCAUAACUAUGAGCAAUAAGUUUUUGCUUGUCAGCCUCUGCAGAGGACAUUUCUUUCAGAUGCUGACAUAAAAGGGCAAUUGAUUCAGCACAAGAAUCCGUCAGCUGUGUGAACACACAGAACUAUCCCCCUGAUGAGACUUCACCACUGAUGUAGCAGAAAAUCAGUACAGAUUGACAGUGCAGUGACGCACCUGUGGUGUCAUCAGCCUCACUGGCCACAAAUUGAGUGUUUUUCUCAACUGCCUAAUGCAAUCCCUGGCCACUCUGAGCAAGCAGUCAAGCAGCUCAAUUCUGAAUUGUCUUUGAAAGACCUCUAAAUACAGCGGCACAGUGCAGGCGAAGCUCCAUGGCAGAGCUGAUGGAAGCAAUCAGGUUCAUGGCCUUUGAACACUCCUGGGUUUACUGAAUUCUCAGUCUUAUGGCCACGAAGCUCCAGUUCAAAUGCAACACCAAAUCUUACGCAAUAUUUUUAUUUUUGAAAGUAUGUUUUUGUUAUUCUCCACUUCCAAGUAAUGAUUUCUGACAUGUAUGCAGUAGCCUGUGUCGCAUUUGUUCAGCAAUGUUGGCGCUGCCUAACACUGGCAGAUAACUGUCCAUAUGUCUGUCUGUCUUUUUUCAGUGAGGUGGUUUGUGUCAUUCAUUCCAGUCUUGCUCCAUGUCUUCUUCCCCCACCCCCAAGAGAAAACAGGGAAAGUGGAACAGAUUUUUGGGGUGCACCCACACAGACACUUCUUUUUCCUCGUUCCAAGCUCUAUUGAAUCUCCCCAUCAAAUUCUUUCUUUUCACUCUCACAGUUUGUUCAAUGUGUAGAUCUGGACAGUCACGCCCAAGUUCUUUAACACAGCAUUUCUCAGUUGCACUAUCUUGAAAAAGGAUUCCAGAGCAAUGCAUCUAUAGUAUUUGUCUUCCCAAUUCACUCAGAAUAAGCAUCCAAAAACAAGAUAGAAGGGAAGUAAAAAAACCAGUUCCAAACAACAAGCCCCACUGUGUUCAAUAGGAUCUAAUAAUAGAAAGCACUGCUACGCACAGUGAGAUUUCUAUGGAAACCUGUAUAGAAUUGUGUUGUAAGGGCCGUUCAGUGUGACUUUAAUUCUAUGUUUCUUAAUUUUAAUAAAAAAAUAUUUGCAUACCCACAGCUGGUCAAGUUUGCAAAGGAAUCUUAACAACCCCCUGCCUCUUUUUGCUAAUGACAGUGGCGUACAGUUUGAGCAGUGUGCACUUUUGUUGAAAAGAAGCAUGUUUUAAAAGAACACUUGUUUUCAGCAAAAAGGGAUAAUUAUAUUCCUUUGUCAUCCUUGCAUUGGCCUGUGGUAUUUUGAUCAGGUGUAAGUGCACAAAUAGCAUUUUAUUGCUAUUGAGAGACAUGGAAUUAAACGUCACAUCUAGAAAGGCACUCAGAAAACAUUCAUGUAUUAGGAUUCUGUAAUUAUUCCAACAGUAUGAGAUGAAAUGAGGUUCAAAAUACAUAAAAGAAGUUUCAGAAGAGACGUUUAAAGAACAGACAUUUCCAAUAACAAUAAUAAAUAAUGGCAUUGCAAUCUGCACAGUAAGGAUCUUCUGGCCAAGUCCCAGCCAAAGAAAUACAUUUUGUAAAAAAUA
This is a long non-coding RNA of Eublepharis macularius, 2837 nucleotides long. RefSeq lists it as uncharacterized. NCBI's taxonomy places the organism in Eukaryota, Metazoa, Chordata, Lepidosauria, Squamata, Eublepharidae. The transcript is spliced from 3 exons. The record is from RefSeq and is a predicted model, not a curated record.